Molecule: microRNA, 22 nt
Filed under: Limulus polyphemus (Atlantic horseshoe crab)
Lineage: Eukaryota; Metazoa; Arthropoda; Merostomata; Xiphosura; Limulidae
Description: Lpo-Mir-2-P2h_3p (mature (guide))
Source: RNAcentral
UAUCACAGCCGUAUUGACGAUU